UUCAAUAUUUUAUAUAAUUACUAUGCAAAUGAUAAACCUACCUAAUGUUUGUGUCUAUUUGUUUAGAAUCUCAACUUGAAUAUGUGAAUAUUUUAGUCUGUUUUUAAAUAUUUUACUUAUGUUUUGCUUAAUUUUUGCUUAUUUGAUCAAUUUUUGUUCUUUUGAUUAUUUAAAUUAUUUCAAUAAUCGUAACAUAUUGCUAGUUGUGUAGUCACUACAUUUUCUUUUGCAUCCAAUUGGUGAUUUAGAACAAGGUCAAUGGAUUAGUUACUCUAUUUUGUUUUUGCUUUGUUUCAAUUCAAUUUGAAAAAUUUAACUAGGUUGUGAUAAUGCAAAAGACUUCAUAAAUUCUAUUACCCAAAAAUUAAAAACUCACAUUUCAACACUAAAAAUUAGGGUUUUCAAGGCAUGGACUUAUGGUUAUAGGUCUUAUUUUUUUUUAUGUUCAAGAGUUAUUAUAGAUCAUUCAUUUUUUUAAAAAAAAAAGUUCAAUGUUUUCGCCUAAUUCUCUCUUCAUGUAGGCACAAACCUGUUUAGUGGGGAGAGGAAGUACUAUAUUGUAAUCUCUCGGGGGCGAACAUAUAUUAAAAAUUGACGAUAAUAUAUAUUAUCAUAAUAUUGUGGUGAAAUAUAAUGGACCAUAAACGUGAAUGAAAAUCUAUAUUUUUGGAAAUCAAGUAAACCAUCGCCAUCGUAACCACUGUCUUAAUUAAGGAAGAGUUCAGUGUCGAACAUGCACUACACUUACGUCCGUCAGUUUAAUUUUAAAGGUGUUUAAAGGUGUUAGCAACCAAAGUUAAAAACCUUUUUUGGUCACUCUUUAUCUCUGUAGAUUUUUGUUUUCUUUUUCCAUUUCUUAAUAUCAAUAAUUAUCGUCAAUAUU
Molecule: small RNA, 883 nt
Filed under: Arabidopsis thaliana (thale cress)
Lineage: Eukaryota; Viridiplantae; Streptophyta; Magnoliopsida; Brassicales; Brassicaceae
Description: ATSL252240
Source: RNAcentral